Long non-coding RNA from Olea europaea var. sylvestris, 671 nucleotides. RefSeq lists it as uncharacterized. Lineage: Eukaryota; Viridiplantae; Streptophyta; Magnoliopsida; Lamiales; Oleaceae. The transcript is spliced from 2 exons. The record is from RefSeq and is a predicted model, not a curated record.
AAUGAUAGCAUAAACUAGUUCUAUGCACACUUACGUCAGUUGCAAUUUCAUUGUUGUCAAAGCACCUGGGAUUGAAGUUGUAUUAUUAAUUUUUGUACUUUUCGUGUCAUUGCAUAUGCAGUAGGAAGAGAUUCUCUGAGUACCAAGCAGAGACUUGGAGGUCAGAAAACCAAAAAAAAAAGUCUACAAGAAAUACAAUAUUCGUGGAAUAUACAAUGCUGCAAGUAGGACUGGGGGAGUUGUGCCCCAAGGCUUCAGUAGGAUCUGUCAAAGGUGAUGCAAGCUCGUCAAGAUGAAAGUAGAGAUAUUAAAUGAGUGCGCUUCAGCCUUGGGAGACUAAGGAGCACCAAGCAGAGACUUGGUGGUCAAAAAACUGGAAAACAGUUCCACGAUAAGUACAACAUUCGUGAGCCAGUUUGAGUCUGGUUCUUAGCUGCAUGAUGAAAAUGGCUUCAAAACUUGAGAUUAGGUUAUUUCUUAAUCAAAGAUUUGUUGUCAUUAUGUUGGUUUUUCAAUUUUAUUACUCUUAAUGAGGAUUGAUAAACAAGGCCAUGACUGGCUUUUGGAUUCCGUUCAAUGGAAAUAUUUGACCAAAUCCUUGUCAUUUUUCAUAGAAGUGAAUGCUACACCCUGGUGAACUAAUACAUGUGUGUGCUACAUUGCUGUCUUCC